Long non-coding RNA from Humulus lupulus (European hop), 436 nucleotides. RefSeq lists it as uncharacterized. The transcript has 2 exons. The record is from RefSeq and is a predicted model, not a curated record. NCBI's taxonomy places the organism in Eukaryota, Viridiplantae, Streptophyta, Magnoliopsida, Rosales, Cannabaceae.
UAAGUAGUGUGAACUUGUCUUAUGGUCCUUUGUCUCCCUCUUCUAUAUAAAGCACAAAAGAUCGUAGCUAAUUAAGUAAUAAGAGAUGGGGCUCUCUUCUGCCAUUCGAUUUAUGAUGAUGAUCAUCAUCGCUCUUAUUCUAGCAUCCAAUCACUAUUCUGUCACUGCAGAUAUGAAACCAAAAGAAAAAGUCAUACCGAUUAAGAGGUCACUUGCACCAGUUAAUAACCAAGUUUGGAGACCAGUAACUCCACCUUCAGGAAAUCCUGGGCACAAUUAAUCGAGUCAUUUAUAUUUUGGCCGUUGUAUUUUUAUGUCAUAGUGUUCUUGUUCGUACUUUUAUUGUGUUCCUGUUCAGAGGUUUGAAAAAUAUUCUGAAACUUUUUAUUUUGACUAUGAUGGUAUUGUUUAAUCAUUAAUUAUGCUUUGUUUCGAA